GAUGAACGCUGACAGAAUGCUUAACACAUGCAAGUCUACUUGAACUUCGGUUUGGGUGGCGGACGGGUGAGUAACGCGUAAAGAACUUGCCUCACAGUUAGGGACAACAUUUGGAAACGAAUGCUAAUACCUGAUAUUAUGAUUUUAGGGCAUCCUAGGAUUAUGAAAGCUAUAUGUGCUGUGAGAGAGCUUUGCGUCCCAUUAGCUAGUUGGAGAGGUAACGGCUCACCAAGGCGAUGAUGGGUAGCCGGCCUAAGAGGGUGAACGGCCACAAGGGGACUGAGACACGGCCCUUACUCCUACGGGAGGCAGCAGUGGGGAAUAUUGGACAAUGGACCAAAAGUCUGAUCCAGCAAUUCUGUGUGCACGAUGACGUUUUUCGGAAUGUAAAGUGCUUUCAGUUGGGAAGAAAAAAAUGACGGUACCAACAGAAGAAGUGACGGCUAAAUACGUG
This 454-nucleotide ribosomal RNA is filed under the name uncultured bacterium. RNAcentral's name for it is "partial 16S ribosomal RNA". It matches the Rfam family "Bacterial small subunit ribosomal RNA", at positions 28 to 507 of the family's 1533-position model. The record is from RNAcentral.